UAAUGGAAUCGCUUGAUUCCAUAGCGAACUGCUCAGUAACAAGUGAUUAACUUACCCUUCAGAGGAGAAUAAUCUCGGGAAACUGAGGCUAAUACUCCAUAUUUGGGAUCGCCUGGAAUGGUAUCCCAUUGAAAAGAUAUGUCAAAAUGUAGACUGUUCGCUGAAGGAUAGGAUCGCUUUUGAUUAUGGUUGUUGGUGAGGUAAUGGCUCACCAAGCCUAUGAUCAAUAAGGGCCGUGAGAGCGGGAGCCCUGAGAUGGGGACUGAGACAAUGCCCCAGGCCUUACGAGGUGCAGCAGGCGCGAAACCUUUACAAUGGACGAAAGUGUGAUAAGGUUACCCAAAGUGCCAUUGAUGCAAAAGCAAUUUGGCUGUUGGAUGUGUUUAGUGGACCAUCCGAGGAAGGAGAGGGCAAGGCUGGUGCCAGCCGCCGCGGUAAAACCAGCUCUUCAAGUGGUUGGGGCUUUUAUUGGGCUUAAAGCGUCCGUAGCCUGUUUGACAAGUUCCUGGUUAAAUCCGGUAGCUUAACUAUUGGACUGCUAGGAAUACUAUCUUACUAGAGGGCGGGAAAGGUCUGAGGUACUCCGGGGGGAGCGGUGAAAUGUGAUAAUCCUCGGGGGACCACCAGCGGCGAAGGCGUCAGACUGGAACGCGCCUGACGGUGAGGGACGAAAGGUAGGGGAACGAACGGGAUUAGAUACCCCGGUAGUCCUACCCGUAAACGAUGCGCGCUAGAUGUUGGUUCUGCUCAGAGCAGUAUCAGUGCCACAGGGAAACCAUUAAGCGCGCCGCCUGGAAAGUACGCUCGCAAGAGUAAAACUUAAAGGAAUUGACGGGGGAGCACCACAAGGGGUGAAGCCUGCGGUUUAAUUG
RNAcentral lists this ribosomal RNA (872 nucleotides) under uncultured euryarchaeote. RNAcentral describes it as "bacterial SSU rRNA". It matches the Rfam family "Archaeal small subunit ribosomal RNA", at positions 60 to 908 of the family's 1478-position model. Lineage: Archaea; Methanobacteriati; Methanobacteriota. The record is from RNAcentral.